RNAcentral lists this long non-coding RNA (711 nucleotides) under Ananas comosus (pineapple). Its description in RNAcentral is "long non-coding RNA (ACOM_LNC013886)". Lineage: Eukaryota; Viridiplantae; Streptophyta; Magnoliopsida; Poales; Bromeliaceae. The record is from RNAcentral.
AGGCCAUUCUUUUCAGCAGGGUCAUUCAUCCUAGUACUAUUCUAGUCCUAUCACGCUUAACUCUGUAAAUCUCUUGUGCCUAAUCACCGCCAAAAAUACUAUAGUCAGAUUAAAAAAAAACCCACAAACACCAGACGACGUCAGUUUCUUAAUCCGGUUAUGAUAUUUUGGACAAUGAUUAGGCACAAGAGAUUAAAAAGGUUAGGCAUGCUGAGGUUUGAGUAGUUUUAGGAUGGGCCGAUGCUCGAGAAGUAGGGCAUCAUAGUUCAUAUUGAAGCCAAUCAUCAAUGAAAAGUGUGAGAUGAAACUUGACAUAGCUAAGAUUUGAAUGACAUGAUAAGUCAGGGUGUGGAAAUGAUCGGUUAAGUUAGAGUUUGAAUGACAAGACUAAUUAACGAUCGAGAAAGUCUCACAUUAUCUGAUGCUUGUGAGAUUUUUUAAUUCAACUAUAAUAUUUUGGGCAAUAGUUAAGCCCAAAAGAUUAAGAGAAUCAAACAUGCUGGAGUUAGAGCUCUUCUAGUAUGAUCCCGUUUAGGAAGUGAACCGUCACAAUUCUAACUGAGCUGUAACAUAAUCUGGGUAUAACCCGAGAUGAAAUAUGAAAUAUGAAAAACCUUUAUAGUUAUAUUCUUGAAAUAAAAAAAUUAACAAAUAAAUAAGAUAUUUUUAAAAUUUUGAUGAAAUAUUUAGGCAAUUAUCCCAAAUAAAAUU